Molecule: long non-coding RNA, 314 nt
Organism: Micropterus dolomieu (smallmouth bass)
Lineage: Eukaryota; Metazoa; Chordata; Actinopteri; Centrarchiformes; Centrarchidae
Exons: 3
Source: RefSeq, a predicted model, not a curated record
CGUCUGUAGACUCUUAUUCUUGUUUAAAUUUGCUUCUCACAAGUCCCUGAACAUUAUGGAAGCAAGCAGUCCUUCAAGAAGAAUGAGAACUGACAGAACCAGUGGUUGACGGGUCAUCUCUUUUCCUCCUGGUUGGCAGUUUCCACAUCGACAUCCACCACACCUUGGCUCACAGGCUGCCCCAAUACUGUCCCACCUCCACCAUUCCAGGAACUCACGAUAUUUGUCAGGACAACCAGCUUGAAACCGGGACAAUCCCAGACAAACCUGGACGUCUGGUCAUCGUGCAAAGUGGUAUUACGAGACAGGAGGGC